GUAUGCAUGUUUUCCUUCUACCCACGUGUGAGUUAAGAACUCUAACUAUUGAGAGAAAAAUAAAUGUGAGUUAAGAACUUUGAGAAACAAAGUGUGAGAAAGUCUCACAUAGAUUAGAAAAGUUGAGACUUGAACAUUUAUAAUAUGAAAGAACUUGCACACCAAUCACCUUCAGGUUUUGGGUGAGUUGUGGUGUGUCUCUCAUAAAGUAUGUUACACAUAAAAAAUGAUACAAUGAACAUAAAUGCUCCCUCGUGUUGAACCCUCAUAAUUGACGACUCAACAAUGGUAUCAGAAACAUUUGGUUCUUAGUGCAUGACCAACUUUCUUGUAUCGAAAGUACUCCCCACAAAUGGUGGAUAUGAGGUGUCCAGUUGAAGAGUGUAAACAGUGGCAUAAGAGCUUCCGCUUGAGGGAUAAUAUUGUGGAUAAACUCACGUUUGAGAUGGAGUAUUGAGAAAAAACCAUGUGUGAGUUAAGAACUUUGAUAAACAAAGUAUGAAAAGUCUCACAUUGAUUAGAAAAGUGGAGAUUUGAU
RNAcentral lists this long non-coding RNA (538 nucleotides) under Lathyrus oleraceus (garden pea). Its description in RNAcentral is "Pisum sativum (pea) long non-coding RNA (PSAT_LNC016667)". Lineage: Eukaryota; Viridiplantae; Streptophyta; Magnoliopsida; Fabales; Fabaceae. The record is from RNAcentral.